AUGUCCACUGCCUAGUGGACAUGGCAUCUGUUCGGUAAUCGGAACACUGUGGGUUCGAUUCCCAUCCCUGGACACU
RNAcentral lists this transfer RNA (76 nucleotides) under Cordylochernes scorpioides. RNAcentral describes it as "tRNA-Thr". Lineage: Eukaryota; Metazoa; Arthropoda; Arachnida; Pseudoscorpiones; Chernetidae. The record is from RNAcentral.